Small nuclear RNA from Mustela lutreola (European mink), 107 nucleotides. The record is from RefSeq and is a predicted model, not a curated record. NCBI's taxonomy places the organism in Eukaryota, Metazoa, Chordata, Mammalia, Carnivora, Mustelidae.
GUGCUCACUUUGGCAGCACGUAUACUAAAAUUGGAAUGAUACAGAGAAGAUCAGCAUAGCCCCUGUGCAAGAAUGAAAUGCAAAUUCAUGAAAUGGUACAUAUUUUU